GCAGAGUUAGACGCAGCGUUUCAGAAUGUAAGGUGAUGGCGAAGUCAACUGCGACUUCAACAAAAUCCAGAAGUCCAACAUCUGGGCUUGCGAAACUGCAAUUGCCACAAGCGCAACCGAAGGCACCCGUUGAUAAACAAAGCCAUAAAGGGUUUACAGUUUUUACUCCAAACCCCAAUAAAAGAAAAGAUAUUCAGAAAAAAGCCGAAGCAGAACUAGCAGCUCUAGAGGACUUUCCCUUGAGUCGGGCUAUGGGCUAUGUUUCCUUAACGCCUAGACCCGUAGGUGGACGCCUAACACUGGAGGAAGUCAGAAUAAAACAGCAACAAGAGAUGAAAAUAAAAGAUAACAAAAAACAGGGCCCGAUUGACUUUCAGUGAAAUACUAGUUUGAGUCCCUCUUCAGCUGAUCGGAUUUCUUAGGCCUUCCUUUGUUUUCCAGAUGAAAAAUGCUUUGAAAGCAUGUCCCAUAGUAUAUAGUAUAAAUAACCCAAUAAUCAGGUUUAAUUGCAGCUUCCAUAAUUCAGAUCCUUAUGCUCAGUGUGUACACUAAUAUAACAUUUUUUUAACCUAAAUUGCAAUAAAAUAUUAUUUUGAAUCUUUUAAAAAUAAAUAUGACUUAUUUCCCCUCUGUCUCAGAAGUAAUGUUGACUUUGUUUACUGUAUUGUAAAGUUGUUAAUGGUUACCGUAUUUGUACUUUAUCAUUUAAACGUCCAUUGUAUAAAACUUUAACAACUUUAAAUGUAUUGCUUAUUUUUGAGAAGACAUACAUCAUGCAGUACUGCAAUUCAAAUUCACACAGUAGCCAAAUAUUCCUAUACUUGUGUAAAAUAAUGAAAACUCACUUUUCUUACAUGCCUGGCGUAUGUUGCACAAUCCAAUCUGAGUAUGCCAAAGAAAAAACACAAUAACAAAAGAUGUACUAUUACUGCGUUAUUACAAAUGAGCAGUGUGUUACUGAGUUUCAUUCAUUCCGUUAUAUCAUGCUGUUCAAAGCACACUGUAGUGUUUCUCAUCUGUUCCCUAGCAACAACGUCUUCUCUCUCUUCUUUGUUUUGUCCUCCGUGUAUAUUCUGAGAGCCGUCUACUUUGAAGUUUCCAAAAAUACAAACUGGUCUCCUGCUGCCUGGGAGAGAGACUGAGAGCUGUGCAUAUAACAGGAUGAACGUGGAAAACAGAGGGAGCAGCCGGGGAUGACCAGCUAGAUAUUUCCUUAGUGUUUUUUAGGCUUACAUUUCCUUAACACACCAUCGCUCCCUACCAAGCAGUAGUACUUAGCCAUAAUCUAUGGAGUCAGUUGUGAAUGUUUGGACAAUGCUACCAUAAGACCGUG
This is a long non-coding RNA of Electrophorus electricus (electric eel), 1333 nucleotides long. RefSeq lists it as uncharacterized. Lineage: Eukaryota; Metazoa; Chordata; Actinopteri; Gymnotiformes; Gymnotidae. The record is from RefSeq and is a predicted model, not a curated record.